Molecule: ribosomal RNA, 482 nt
Filed under: uncultured bacterium
Lineage: Bacteria
Description: partial 16S ribosomal RNA
Rfam family: Bacterial small subunit ribosomal RNA
Source: RNAcentral
AUUGAACGCUGGCGGCAUGCCUUACACAUGCGAGUCGAACGGUAACGGGCCUUCGGGUGCCGACGAGUGGCGAACGGGUGGGUAAUACAUCGGAACGUGCCCGAUCGUGGGGGAUAACGAGGCGAAAGCUUUGCUAAUACCGCAUACGAUCUACGGAUGAAAGCAGGGGACCGCAAGGCCUUGCGCGGACGGAGCGGCCGAUGGCAGAUUAGGUAGUUGGUGGGAUAAAAGCUUACCAAGCCGACGAUCUGUAGCUGGUCUGAGAGGAUGAUCAGCCACACUGGGACUGAGACACGGCCCAGACUCCUACGGGAGGCAGCAGUGGGGAAUUUUGGACAAUGGGCGCAAGCCUGAUCCAGCCAUGCCGCGUGCAGGAUGAAGGCCUUCGGGUUGUAAACUGCUUUUGUACGGAACGAAAAGCCUUCUUUUAAUACAGGAGGGUCAUGACGGUACCGUAAGAAUAAGCACCGGCUAACUACGUG